AAAUAAAUAAAUAAAUAAAUAGCAGGCAUGGUGGUAUGCCCCUCUAGUCCCAUUGCUCAGGAGUUUGAGACCAGCCUGGGCAAUAUAGUAAGACCCUGUCUCUAAAUAAAUAAAUAAUUAUCAGGCAUGGUGGCAUGCCCCUGUAGUCCCAUUAGGAGGCUGAGGUGGGAGAAUCUCUUGAACCCAGGAGUUGAGUCUACAGUGAGUUACAGUCACGCUACUGCACUCUAGCCUCAGUGACAGAGCAAGACUCUGUCUCUAAAACAAAACAAAACAAAACAAAACAAAAAACAAACAUUGAAGCUGGGCAUGGUAGUGCAAGCCUGUAAUCCUAGCUACUUUGAGAGACAGAGGUAGGAGGAUCACUUGAGCCCAGAAGUUUGAUACCAGCCUGGGCAAUAUAGUGAGAAGCCAUCUCUUUUUAAUAUUUUUCUUUUUUUCUUCAGAACAAUAUGAAUAUAAAAAAAAAA
Molecule: long non-coding RNA, 470 nt
Filed under: Homo sapiens (human)
Lineage: Eukaryota; Metazoa; Chordata; Mammalia; Primates; Hominidae
Description: non-protein coding lnc-CCDC173-1:1
Source: RNAcentral